CAGUAGCCGCGGUAAUACGUAAGUGGCAAGCGUUGUCCGGAAUUAUUGGGCGUAAAGCGCGCGCAGGCGGAUCAGUCAGUCUGUCUUAAAAGUUCGGGGCUUAACCCCGUGAUGGGAUGGAAACUGCUGAUCUAGAGUAUCGGAAAGGAAAGUGGAAUUCCUAGUGUAGCGGUGAAAUGCGUAGAUAUUGGGAAGAACACCAGUGGCGAAGGCGACUUUCUGGACGAAAACUGACGCUGAGGCGCGAAAGCCAGGGGAGCGAACGGGAUUAGAUACCCCAGUAGUCCCUGUCUCUUAUACA
Molecule: ribosomal RNA, 301 nt
Filed under: uncultured bacterium
Lineage: Bacteria
Description: partial 16S ribosomal RNA
Rfam family: Bacterial small subunit ribosomal RNA
Source: RNAcentral